UACGUAGGGUCCGAGCGUUAAUCGGAAUUACUGGGCGUAAAGCGUGCGCAGGCGGUUUUGUAAGCCAGAUGUGAAAGCCCCGGGCUCAACCUGGGAACUGCAUUUGGGACUGCAAGGCUGGAGUACGGCAGAGGGAGGUGGAAUUCCACGUGUAGCAGUGAAAUGCGUAGAUAUCUGGAGGAACACCGGUGGCGAAGGCGGCAUCCUGGACCAAUACUGACACUGAGGAGCGAAAGCCAGGGGAGCAAACGGG
This 253-nucleotide ribosomal RNA is filed under the name uncultured bacterium. RNAcentral's name for it is "partial 16S ribosomal RNA". It matches the Rfam family "Bacterial small subunit ribosomal RNA", at positions 524 to 776 of the family's 1533-position model. The record is from RNAcentral.